CUGAGGCAAGAGGGAAGUGUCCCAGAUAUGCAGCCGGUUUCCCCUGAGGGGUCUCGGAGUCCGGAACCCCCAACCCAAAUCUGGAGGAUGAGGAACCCGGAGUCUGCAUUUCUUAGUACCCGAGAAGGAGGGGCCUGAAUUCCAGAACUCCUGGGUGGUUGCCCCCUCCCUCUCCUGAGAUGUCAGGAAGGAGGGGGCCACCUGUGUCCUCCACAGGGGCCCCCCGAAGCCUGGGGACUCCCAGCCCCAGAGCUCCGAGGCGGAGGAGGUGCUGACAG
This 278-nucleotide small RNA is filed under the name Pan troglodytes (chimpanzee). Its description in RNAcentral is "processed transcript". The record is from RNAcentral. Lineage: Eukaryota; Metazoa; Chordata; Mammalia; Primates; Hominidae.